RNAcentral lists this small RNA (53 nucleotides) under Sinorhizobium meliloti 2011. RNAcentral describes it as "putative ncRNA". The record is from RNAcentral. Lineage: Bacteria; Pseudomonadati; Pseudomonadota; Alphaproteobacteria; Hyphomicrobiales; Rhizobiaceae.
GCUGUUCUGAACCACGUCCUUUUGCUGCAGGAUGAGUUGGUUCAGUAUGUCGA